GAUGAACGCUGGCGGCGUGCCUAAUACAUGCAAGUCGAGCGAACGGACGAGAAGCUUGCUUCUCUGAUGUUAGCGGCGGACGGGUGAGUAACACGUGGAUAACCUACCUAUAAGACUGGGAUAACUUCGGGAAACCGGAGCUAAUACCGGAUAAUAUUUUGAACCGCAUGGUUCAAAAGUGAAAGACGGUCUUGCUGUCACUUAUAGAUGGAUCCGCGCUGCAUUAGCUAGUUGGUAAGGUAACGGCUUACCAAGGCAACGAUGCAUAGCCGACCUGAGAGGGUGAUCGGCCACACUGGAACUGAGACACGGUCCAGACUCCUACGGGAGGCAGCAGUAGGGAAUCUUCCGCAAUGGGCGAAAGCCUGACGCAGCAAAGCCGCGUGAGUGAUGAAGGUCUUCGGAUCGUAAAACUCUGUUAUUAGGGAAGACCAUAUGUGUAAGUAACUGUGCACAUCUUGACGGUACCUAAUCAGAGAGCCACGGCUAACUACGUG
This 497-nucleotide ribosomal RNA is filed under the name uncultured bacterium. RNAcentral's name for it is "partial 16S ribosomal RNA". It matches the Rfam family "Bacterial small subunit ribosomal RNA", at positions 28 to 507 of the family's 1533-position model. The record is from RNAcentral.